This 833-nucleotide long non-coding RNA is filed under the name Capra hircus (goat). RNAcentral describes it as "lncRNA (ENSCHIG00010011162.1)". Lineage: Eukaryota; Metazoa; Chordata; Mammalia; Artiodactyla; Bovidae. The record is from RNAcentral.
CUUUAAGCAUCAGGAAAUAAUGUUGAGACUUGAAAAGCCAGAUCGCAGACUCACUUCUAACAUAGGAAAAGCUCAUCAGAAAGUGCUUAUAUCCAGCUAUGGUGUAAGAUAAUGCCAAUGUUUAGAAUUAUCCAAGAGUGCUCUUUGUUUAUAAAAAAUAAUCCCAAUUAUCUUACUUCUGUAUUGGUUUCCAAUGCUUUUUCAGUUUUUCAUAAAACAGGACUGAUUUUUUUUUCCUCCAGUAUUGACCUUCUCUUUAUUUCUAGAUGCCCAGAUGAGCAAAGAAAAUACCACUGAGGAAUGUGCGUUACUUGACUGGGCAGAGUCUACCCACAGUAGCCAAAUGAUUUUGUGUUAAAUGUCAUCCUUUGUCACAGGCUAUCUUUUCCUCUACAAAAGUCUGAAGCCCCUGAACUGGACGAAUGGAUAAAAGCAUUUUAAAGAAAGGGGCACUGAUCUAAUAAUGCCUUUGGCAGAAGAAGUUCAGUGUUAGUUUGAAGUGAAAAAUAAAGCAACCUGUGACGGAGCCUGGAAUCAUCUUGCUAAGAGAGUUUUUGAUUGUCGUUUAUUGUUUGUUUGUUUAUAUAUCCGAGCUUUGUUUAUUAGCUGUUAUGUGACUUAGUUCGGACACAAACAGCAGAUGGACAUUGAAAAUGGUCCAUACUAAAGCUAACGUAAGCCUACAUUUCUUUUUCCCUUUUCUUUUUUGUGUCUGACUUUUUAAGGAACUUUUGAACCAUUCUCCACAGAAGCAGCACUCUUAUAGGUUCCCACCAGCAGUAUAUGUGAGUUCCAACUUCUCGACACCCUCAACAUACGUUACUGUCCUUUUU